GCGCACGGGUGAGUACACGUGAGUGACAUACCCGCAGUGGGGAUAGCCGCCGAAAGGCGGGAUUAUACCCCAUGGGUAUCGCAAGAUUCAAGGUGGCUUCGGCUGCCGCUGCGGGAUUGGCUCGCGUACUAUCAGUUAGUUGGUGAGGUAACGGGUCACCAAGGCGACGACGGGUAGCUGGUCUGAGAGGAUGAUCAGUCACACUGGAACUGAGACACGGUCCAGACACCUACGGGUGGCAGCAGUCGAGAAUAUUCACAAUGGACGAAAGUCUGAUGGUGCAACGCCGCCGUGGAGGAUGACGGUCUUCGGAUUGUCAACUCCUGUCAUCGGGGAGUAAGACCCUGGCUGUGAAUAGCAGACAGGGUUGAUAGUACCCGAAGAGGACGGGACGGCUAAACUUCGUGCCAGCAGCCGCGGUAAUACGAAGGUCCCGAACGUUGUUCGGAAUCACUGGGCGUAAAGGGAGCGUAGGCGGCAGGGUAAGUCAGAUGUGAAAUCCCGGGGCUCAAUCCCGGAACGGCAUCCGAUACUGCCCUGUUUGAGUAAUGGAGGGGUAGCUCGAAUUCUCGGUGUAGCAGUGAAAUGCGUGGAUAUCGA
This 600-nucleotide ribosomal RNA is filed under the name uncultured organism. RNAcentral's name for it is "bacterial SSU rRNA". It matches the Rfam family "Bacterial small subunit ribosomal RNA", at positions 98 to 700 of the family's 1533-position model. The record is from RNAcentral.